GUAUGGAGCAAGCGUUAUCCGGAUUUACUGGGUGUAAAGGGAGCGCAGGCGGUGCGGCAAGUCUGAUGUGAAAGCCCGGGGCUCAACCCCGGUACUGCAUUGGAAACUGUCGUACUAGAGUGUCGGAGGGGUAAGUGGAAUUCCUAGUGUAGCGGUGAAAUGCGUAGAUAUAUGGAGGAACACCAGUGGCGAAGGCGACGGUCUGGGCCGCAACUGACGCUCAUUCCCGAAAGCGUGGGGAGCAAAUAGGAUUAGAUACCCUAGUAGUCCACGCUGUAAACGAUGAUUACUAGGUGUGGGGGGAUUGACCCCUUCCGUGCCGGAGUUAACACAAUAAGUAUUGCACCUGGGGAGU
This 355-nucleotide ribosomal RNA is filed under the name uncultured bacterium. RNAcentral describes it as "bacterial SSU rRNA". It matches the Rfam family "Bacterial small subunit ribosomal RNA", at positions 527 to 881 of the family's 1533-position model. The record is from RNAcentral.